AGUGAACGCUGGCGGUAGGCCUAACACAUGCAAGUCGAACGGCAGCACAGGAGAGCUUGCUCUCUGGGUGGCGAGUGGCGGACGGGUGAGGAAUACAUCGGAAUCUACUCUGUCGUGGGGGAUAACGUAGGGAAACUUACGCUAAUACCGCAUACGACCUACGGGUGAAAGCAGGGGACCUUCGGGCCUUGCGCGAUGGAAGGAGCCGAUGUCGGAUUAGCUAGUUGGCGGGGUAAAGGCCCACCAAGGCGACGAUCCGUAGCUGGUCUGAGAGGAUGAUCAGCCACACUGGAACUGAGACACGGUCCAGACUCCUACGGGAGGCAGCAGUGGGGAAUAUUGGACAAUGGGCGCAAGCCUGAUCCCGCCAUACCGCGUGGGUGAAGAAGGCCUUCGGGUUGUAAAGCCCUUUUGUUGGGAAAGAAAUCCAGCUGGCUAAUACCCGGUUGGGAUGACGGCACCCAAAGAAUAAGCACCGGCUAACUUCGUGCCAGCCGCCGCCGUAA
Molecule: ribosomal RNA, 506 nt
Filed under: uncultured bacterium
Lineage: Bacteria
Description: partial 16S ribosomal RNA
Rfam family: Bacterial small subunit ribosomal RNA
Source: RNAcentral